Stegastes partitus (bicolor damselfish) is the source of this 1068-nucleotide long non-coding RNA. RefSeq lists it as uncharacterized. The transcript has 5 exons. Lineage: Eukaryota; Metazoa; Chordata; Actinopteri; Pomacentridae. The record is from RefSeq and is a predicted model, not a curated record.
GACCUGUCCAGGUCAAAAAUGACUGCAAGGUUCCCAACAGUACAACUGGAGGCCAAAUCAGUUCCAUCCACAGUAACUAUGUUGUGAUUCUGACGUGUUUAGGGUCAAACAUAAUAACCUGAGUUUGAUUUGUUUUUAGGAGACGACAAACUUCAUCCAGACAUUCAUGAAGUUUGGUGAUUGAUUUGCUUCGUUUAGCUUUAUAGAUAAAUAUAACUGGGUGUCAUAGCGGCAGUGGCGGCUGGUCAAUACAGGGGCGGCGCCCCACUACUAAUGACCAGAUAAAAAGUAGUUCUCAAACACAAUAUUAAAUUUGAAUUAAUUAUAACAAAAUAAUAAUAAAAUUAAUAAUAACGUUCAUAUUCUUUUGCCAUAUUAACAACAUUUAUAUUAUUUCAGAUUCAAAAUUAGUGUGUUUACUAAUCGUACACUUCCUGGAUGCGGGGCGCGGCCACAUGAGUGAUCAUGUGACUUCGGCCCGGGCUCUGAUUGGCAACUGCAGACCUUCUCACGGGGCGCAGCUCAGUGCAUCCCGGACCCGUCCACUUUUGCUGUAAACCAAUUAAUUUUGUCUUUAUUUGCUUUUGUCUUCUGUGGUUGGAUAUCAUGUCUAACACCAUCACACGGCCUGUCCCCUCCUCUUCUUCUAAAUGACAGCUACUGUCGUGACAGCUCAAUGCAUUUGUCAUGUCUGUCAAGUUUUUGUUUUGUGUACACAUUCUAUGUCUCGUCUUUCCUGUUUUAUUUUGAAUCACUAACUGGUUGUCUCUGUCCUAGAUUUACUUCCCGCACCUGUCUUGUCACACCUGCUCCCUGAUGGCUUUCCCUCACCUGUUUCCCAUCUCCCCUCAUUACCUCGUGUAUAUUACCUUGUGUGUCUCACAGUCUCGCUGCCAGUUCUUUGCACUUCACAGUCUUCGUACCAGCGUUCUUCAAAGCCAUAGUCAUAGUCUGCUUUGUUACGAUCUUGCCUUUCGCCUCUUGCUUUUUGGAUACCUCUGCUUGUUUUGACUGACCUCCUGUGUACUGAACCCUGACCGGUAAUAAACCUGCCUGAAUUUGCCUGAA